AGCUGUCAACGUACUCUGAGCAGUUUUGCUUUCAUCCUUUCCUAUUCAUAAAUGUUGGUUUGGCAAGUGCUUGUUUAUUUGGUGUGGCUGCGUAGAGAACUACUACCAUGGAGCAAAUGCUCCAGAUGUGGGCCAACGUGGUUCCUAUUCUAAAAAGAGCACUCUUGUUUUUGAAGGGCAACCAAAGGACAUUCUAGUUGGAGGUCGGAAACACAGCUUAGCAACUCUGAAGCUGCCCAUCCACAAACUGCACCUGGACAGCUGACUUGAUAGGUCUGAUUUUGGCAGCUGAUCACAGUCUUCCUCAGUCAGAAAUGUAAAGAAGGAACAGAGGUUUGUAGGGGGUAAGAUGAGAAAUGCAAAUCCUGAACCAUGACACCGGCCUAUUGUGGGGAAGAAUGUCUGCCCAUGAAUCCAGAUUAAGAUAGAGGACAUCAUUUAUUGCUCUGUUAUGGUGAAAACAUGCAUUGUAAUCCACAUGGGCUCAGGAGCUUCGUUCUUAACACUGUCUUGCAAUUUCAUUAAUUUUCGCAGAAAUGGCAUAGCGACAUAAUCUCAUUUCUCACACAGACACACAUAUGUGCACAACUUGCUAUGCAUAUUUUGUUCUUUUCACUCCACUAUCAAGAAACUUGUCUACUCUUCCAUCUUGAGCAUUUAACCUUAUUUACUUCUCUUUCUGCAAAUGCCUAUAAUUAGUCUAACCUUGUCACACAAACAAUGAGUCAGCUUAUCGCUGUUCGUGAACAAGCAAACAAGGAAACAAGGAAAAAUUACAACCCACAAACUGCAUUUUAAGGAGGAAAGUGGUGGAAAUAUUUACUAGUAACUAGUCUUCUGAAAGUUUCAGCGUAAUUGCAUACUUACACCUUUGCCAUUUUUGAAUGGUUUCCCCGCAUCAUUAAAAACCUUUAUACUGUUCACACCCACUUUUGCACAGUAUGUACAUCAUAAUUUCUCAUUAUGCUUCUCCGACUCCAUUACAUUUUAACCCACAAUUUAUGAUGAAAAUAAAGUCAAACUUAAACCAA
Molecule: long non-coding RNA, 1031 nt
Organism: Pogona vitticeps (central bearded dragon)
Lineage: Eukaryota; Metazoa; Chordata; Lepidosauria; Squamata; Agamidae
Source: RefSeq, a predicted model, not a curated record